This is a long non-coding RNA of Helianthus annuus (common sunflower), 1403 nucleotides long. RefSeq lists it as uncharacterized. The transcript is spliced from 2 exons. The record is from RefSeq and is a predicted model, not a curated record. NCBI's taxonomy places the organism in Eukaryota, Viridiplantae, Streptophyta, Magnoliopsida, Asterales, Asteraceae.
GUCCCAUUUUGUCCCAUGUUGGAUCAGAAGUCUACUCAUCGGAAGUAAAGAAAACCGAGGUUUUGAUGGAGAAUUUCAAAGGGUGGCAGAGCUUGUCACCGGUGUCUUAUUUACUGACGAGGUACAUAUGCUGGAUAUGGAGUGUUUUUCGUACCUAAACCGUGCUUUGGAAAGCUCAUUAUCCCCAAAUGUAAUCUUUGCCACCAAUAGAGGGAUAUACCGUGAGGUAAUUUUCUAAUUUUGAAAAGUUCUAAUUUUUUUAAUUAAUGAUUUAUUUCUGGUAUUUGACUUGUACAGAAAUAGUCAAACACCUCCAUCUGGUCAAAAUUUGAAGUUAUCAUGAGACAGAUGAUUUAUUUUUCAGUAAUGAGAUUCUCUUGAAGAUUUUAUGUUUCAAACACUAAAAAAUUGAUAUUUUUUUUAUUUACCAUAGUUGUUAAUAGCGGUCGUUUGCUAUAGUGAAUAGCGUAGUGUGUUUAGGUCGAAGGUCGCUACACGGAAUGUAGCGAUAAAUAACGGGAUUUCAGUUUUUUCUUAAAUAUACAUAGCGAUUAAAAAUAGCUGGAUUUUAGGUUUUGGUUAAAAAUAGCGAAUUUUAAAAAAUUUAUUUAUUUUCUAAUGAUGUAAAUAAAUUUGGCAAAGGAAAUCGCUGGUUCAGCUUUGAUUUAGUCUUGUCCAGGCGGUUUUUGGCUGUCCAGGCCAUUUGAAACUGGUUUUGGUGGUUCAGAUUGUUUUUUGUGCCUGGAUGGACCAAGGUGCUCGUUGGACCUAGGCGUUAGUGAAGUUUCACUUGCGCUAACUAAACCAUUUUGGCCUGUCCACACAAACCAGUCGGUUUAGUUAAAGUGUAUUUUCUCUACCAUAUGUUCUCAAUUCAUUUUAUUGAUUUAUGGAAUAGAACUUUGAAGUGACUUGAUCUUUUUUAUGACUAUCAGACUAUAUUUGACUCUUUUUGGAAACGACGAGUUGUAAACUUGUUUCUGUUGCAGCCACGCAACCGUCCACAACAGCCACGACCAAUAGCUUCGCCGAGGUAACUACAGUUUCAUAUUUUGACAAAUCAUCUUAACUUUUAUACUGCACCAAAUGGUCUUUUCUUGCAUCUUUUGUUGAGUGUUUUUUCAGUUUUCUUGUCCCUGAGAUUACUGAAGACAAAAUCCAUCUGUUGGAAGGCUAAUUUUCUGUUGCAGGUUUGGCGAGCUCACUUCUGAAGAUCCAAACCUAUUGAAGUUGGUUUCAAAGAAUCUCAAGAUGACAUGUUUUACCGCAAGUCUUGUAUUUAUAUGCGAGAGAUUUAAUUAUGGUGUAGUAACAAUUAGAAGCUUUGCUAAAUUCAGACUAAUUUAUGAGUGACUUUUAAUUCUUUCUGCUAUCAAGCUUAAUCAGGCACCAGUAUUCAUAUA